AGUGAACGCUGGCGGUAGGCCUAACACAUGCAAGUCGAACGGCAGCACAGUAAGAGCUUGCUCUUACGGGUGGCGAGUGGCGGACGGGUGAGGAAUACAUCGGAAUCUACUUUUUCGUGGGGGAUAACGUAGGGAAACUUACGCUAAUACCGCAUACGACCUACGGGUGAAAGCAGGGGAUAUUCGGACCUUGCGCGAUUGAAUGAGCCGAUGUCGGAUUAGCUAGUUGGCGGGGUAAAGGCCCACCAAGGCGACGAUCCGUAGCUGGUCUGAGAGGAUGAUCAGCCACACUGGAACUGAGACACGGUCCAGACUCCUACGGGAGGCAGCAGUGGGGAAUAUUGGACAAUGGGCGCAAGCCUGAUCCAGCCAGACCGCGUGUGUGAAGAAGGCCUUCGGGUUGUAAAGCCCGUUUGUUGGGAAAGAAAAGCAGCAGGUUAAUACCCCGCUGUUCUGACGGUACCCAAAGAAUAAGCACCGGCUAACUUCGUG
Molecule: ribosomal RNA, 492 nt
Filed under: uncultured bacterium
Lineage: Bacteria
Description: partial 16S ribosomal RNA
Rfam family: Bacterial small subunit ribosomal RNA
Source: RNAcentral